This 468-nucleotide ribosomal RNA is filed under the name uncultured bacterium. Its description in RNAcentral is "partial 16S ribosomal RNA". It matches the Rfam family "Bacterial small subunit ribosomal RNA", at positions 28 to 507 of the family's 1533-position model. The record is from RNAcentral.
GACGAACGCUGGCGGCGUGCUUAACACAUGCAAGUCGAACGGAAAGGCCCUGCUUGUGUGGGGUGCUCGAGGGGCGAACGGGUGAGUAACACGUGAGUAACCUGCCCUUGACUUUGGGAUAACUUCAGGAAACGGGGGCUAAUACCGGAUAGGAGCUCCUGCGGCAUGGUGGGGGUUGGAAAGUUUCGGCGGGUGGGGAUGGACUCGCGGCUUAUCAGCUUGUUGGGGGGGUAGUGGCUUACCAGGGCUUUGCCGGGUAGCCGGCCUGAGAGGGUGACCGGCCACAUUGGGACUGAGAUCCGGCCCAGACUCCUCCGGGAGGCAGCAGUGGGGAAUAUUGCCCAAUGGGCGGAAGCCUGAUCCAGCAACGCCGCGUGCGGGAUGACGGCCUUCGGGUUGUAACCCGCUUCCGCCUGUGCCGAAGCGUGAGUGACGGUAAUGGGUAAAGAAGCACCGGCUAACUACGUG